UCCCGUUGAUCCUGCGGGAGAUCGCUGCUAUUGGAAUUCGACUAAGCCAUGCAAGUCAAGGGGUUCUUCGGAACACCGGCAGAAUGCUCAGUAACACGUCGAUAAUCUGCCCUUUAGUCUGGGAUAGCCUCGGAAAACUGAGGGUAAUACCGGAUAUGAGAAUUCGUCUGGAAUGAUUUUUCUCUUAAAGGUAACGCUAAAGGAUGAGUCGGCGGCGGAUUAGGUUGUUGGCGGGGUAACGGCCCACCAAGCCGAAGAUCCGUAGGGGCCUUGAGAGAGGUAGCCCCGAGAAGGACACUGAGAAACUGGUCCUAGCCCUACGGGGUGCAGCAGGCGCGAAACCUUUACAAUGCACGAAAGUGUGAUAGGGGAAUUCCAAGUGCUAAUACUUUGUAUUAGCUUUUGCCAAGACCAAGAAUCUUGGCGAAUAAGUGGUGGGAAAGACUGGUGCCAGCCGCCGCGGUAACACCAGCGCCACGAGUGGGGAUCGCUUUUAUUGGGCCUAAAGCGUCCGUAGCCGGUUUUGUAAAUUCUUUGUGAAAUUGUUAAGCCUAACUUAACAGCGAGCAGGGAACACUGCAAAACUAGAGACCGGGAGGAGUUAGAGGUAUUUUGGGGGGAGCGGUAAAAUGCUAUAAUCCCCAACAGACCACCUGUGGUGAAGACGUCUAACUAGAACGGAUCUGACGGUGAGGGACGAAAGCUAGGGGAGCGAACCGGAUUAGAUACCCGAGUAGUCCUAGCAGUAAACGCUGCGAGCUAGGUGUUGCAUAUUCUUCGUGAAUGUGCAGUGUCGAAGCGAAGGUGUUAAGCUCGCCGCCUGGGAAGUAUGGUCGCAGGACUGAAACUUAAAGGAAUUGGCGGGGGAGCACUACAAGGGGUGCGGCGUGCGGUUUAAUCUAACUCAACGCAGAAAAUCUCACCAGGAGCGACGGCAGGAUGAAAGUCAGGCUAAUGGUCUUACUUGACGAGCCGAGAGGUAGUGCAUGGCCGUCGUCAGCUCGUGCCGUAAGGUGUCCUCUUAAGUGAGGCAACGAGCGAGACCUGUACCUACAAUUGCUAGCGACUUCUUUGAAGGAUCGAGCACUUUGUGGGAACUGCCCUGGAAACAAGGAGGAAGGUGCAGGCUACGGUAGGUCUGUAUGCUCCGAAUCUCCUGGGCUACACUCGCGCAACAAUGGUAGGGACAAUGGGAUGCAACUCCGAAAGGAGAAGCUAAACCUCUAAACCCUAUCCCAGCCCAGAUCGAGGGUUGAAACUCACCCUCGUGACGCCGGAAUCCCUAGUAACCAGACGUCAUCAUCGUCCGGUGAAUGUGUCCCUGCUCCUUGCACACACCGCCCGUCAAACCAACCGAGCAGGGUUCAGAUGAGCCUCGGCCUAUUAGUCAAGUCGAAUCUAAGCUCAGUGAGGUGGGUUAAGUCGUCACAAGGUA
This 1435-nucleotide ribosomal RNA is filed under the name metagenome. Its description in RNAcentral is "bacterial SSU rRNA". It matches the Rfam family "Archaeal small subunit ribosomal RNA". The record is from RNAcentral.